AUUGAACGCUGGCGGCAGGCCUAACACAUGCAAGUCGAACGGUAACAGGAAGAAGCUUGCUUCUUUGCUGACGAGUGGCGGCCGGGUGAGUCAUGUCUGGGAAACUGCCUGAUGGAGGGGGAUAACUACUGGAAACGGUAGCUAAUACCGCAUAACGUCGCAAGACCAAAGAGGGGGACCUUCGGGCCUCUUGCCAUCGGAUGUGCCCAGAUGGGAUUAGCUAGUAGGUGGGGUAACGGCUCACCUAGGCGACGAUCCCUAGCUGGUCUGAGAGGAUGACCAGCCACACUGGAACUGAGACACGGUCCAGACUCCUACGGGAGGCAGCAGUGGGGAAUAUUGCACAAUGGGCGCAAGCCUGAUGCAGCCAUGCCGCGUGUAUGAAGAAGGCCUUCGGGUUGUAAAGUACUUUCAGCGGGGAGGAAGGGAGUAAAGUUAAUACCCUUGCUCAUUGACGUUACCCGCAGAAGAAGCACCGGCUAACUCCGUG
Molecule: ribosomal RNA, 490 nt
Filed under: uncultured bacterium
Lineage: Bacteria
Description: partial 16S ribosomal RNA
Rfam family: Bacterial small subunit ribosomal RNA
Source: RNAcentral